RNAcentral lists this ribosomal RNA (2902 nucleotides) under Klebsiella pneumoniae. Its description in RNAcentral is "23S ribosomal RNA". It matches the Rfam family "Bacterial large subunit ribosomal RNA". The record is from RNAcentral. Lineage: Bacteria; Pseudomonadati; Pseudomonadota; Gammaproteobacteria; Enterobacterales; Enterobacteriaceae.
GGUUAAGCGACUAAGCGUACACGGUGGAUGCCCUGGCAGUCAGAGGCGAUGAAGGACGUGCUAAUCUGCGAAAAGCGUCGGUAAGGUGAUAUGAACCGUUAUAACCGGCGAUGUCCGAAUGGGGAAACCCAGUGCAAUUCGUUGCACUAUCGUUAACUGAAUACAUAGGUUAACGAGGCGAACCGGGGGAACUGAAACAUCUAAGUACCCCGAGGAAAAGAAAUCAACCGAGAUUCCCCCAGUAGCGGCGAGCGAACGGGGAGCAGCCCAGAGUCUGAAUCAGCUUGUGUGUUAGUGGAACGGUCUGGAAAGUCCGACGGUACAGGGUGAUAGUCCCGUACACCAAAAUGCACAGGUUGUGAACUCGAAGAGUAGGGCGGGACACGUGGUAUCCUGUCUGAAUAUGGGGGGACCAUCCUCCAAGGCUAAAUACUCCUGACUGACCGAUAGUGAACCAGUACCGUGAGGGAAAGGCGAAAAGAACCCCGGCGAGGGGAGUGAAAAAGAACCUGAAACCGUGUACGUACAAGCAGUGGGAGCACCUUCGGGUGUGACUGCGUACCUUUUGUAUAAUGGGUCAGCGACUUAUAUUCUGUAGCAAGGUUAACCGUAUAGGGGAGCCGCAGGGAAACCGAGUCUUAACUGGGCGUUAAGUUGCAGGGUAUAGACCCGAAACCCGGUGAUCUAGCCAUGGGCAGGUUGAAGGUUGGGUAACACUAACUGGAGGACCGAACCGACUAAUGUUGAAAAAUUAGCGGAUGACUUGUGGCUGGGGGUGAAAGGCCAAUCAAACCGGGAGAUAGCUGGUUCUCCCCGAAAGCUAUUUAGGUAGCGCCUCGUGAAUUCAUCUUCGGGGGUAGAGCACUGUUUCGGCUAGGGGGUCAUCCCGACUUACCAACCCGAUGCAAACUACGAAUACCGAAGAAUGUUAUCACGGGAGACACACGGCGGGUGCUAACGUCCGUCGUGAAGAGGGAAACAACCCAGACCGCCAGCUAAGGUCCCAAAGUCAUGGUUAAGUGGGAAACGAUGUGGGAAGGCACAGACAGCCAGGAUGUUGGCUUAGAAGCAGCCAUCAUUUAAAGAAAGCGUAAUAGCUCACUGGUCGAGUCGGCCUGCGCGGAAGAUGUAACGGGGCUAAACCAUGCACCGAAGCUGCGGCAGCGACACUAUGUGUUGUUGGGUAGGGGAGCGUUCUGUAAGCCUGCGAAGGUGACCUGUGAGGGUUGCUGGAGGUAUCAGAAGUGCGAAUGCUGACAUAAGUAACGAUAAAGCGGGUGAAAAGCCCGCUCGCCGGAAGACCAAGGGUUCCUGUCCAACGUUAAUCGGGGCAGGGUGAGUCGACCCCUAAGGCGAGGCCGAAAGGCGUAGUCGAUGGGAAACAGGUUAAUAUUCCUGUACUUGGUGUUACUGCGAAGGGGGGACGGAGAAGGCUAUGUUAGCCGGGCGACGGUUGUCCCGGUUUAAGCAUGUAGGCUGAUUGUCCAGGCAAAUCCGGAUAAUCAAGGCUGAGGUGUGAUGACGAGGCACUACGGUGCUGAAGUAACAAAUGCCCUGCUUCCAGGAAAAGCCUCUAAGCAUCAGGUAACAUCAAAUCGUACCCCAAACCGACACAGGUGGUCAGGUAGAGAAUACCAAGGCGCUUGAGAGAACUCGGGUGAAGGAACUAGGCAAAAUGGUGCCGUAACUUCGGGAGAAGGCACGCUGGUGUGUAGGUGAAGCCCCUGCGGGUGGAGCUGAGACCAGUCGAAGAUACCAGCUGGCUGCAACUGUUUAUUAAAAACACAGCACUGUGCAAACACGAAAGUGGACGUAUACGGUGUGACGCCUGCCCGGUGCCGGAAGGUUAAUUGAUGGGGUUAUCCGUAAGGAGAAGCUCUUGAUCGAAGCCCCGGUAAACGGCGGCCGUAACUAUAACGGUCCUAAGGUAGCGAAAUUCCUUGUCGGGUAAGUUCCGACCUGCACGAAUGGCGUAAUGAUGGCCAGGCUGUCUCCACCCGAGACUCAGUGAAAUUGAACUCGCUGUGAAGAUGCAGUGUACCCGCGGCAAGACGGAAAGACCCCGUGAACCUUUACUAUAGCUUGACACUGAACAUUGAGCCUUGAUGUGUAGGAUAGGUGGGAGGCUUUGAAGCGUGGACGCCAGUCUGCGUGGAGCCAACCUUGAAAUACCACCCUUUAAUGUUUGAUGUUCUAACGUUGGCCCCUGACCGGGGUUGCGGACAGUGUCUGGUGGGUAGUUUGACUGGGGCGGUCUCCUCCCAAAGCGUAACGGAGGAGCACGAAGGUUAGCUAAUCCUGGUCGGACAUCAGGAGGUUAGUGCAAUGGCAUAAGCUAGCUUGACUGCGAGCGUGACGGCGCGAGCAGGUGCGAAAGCAGGUCAUAGUGAUCCGGUGGUUCUGAAUGGAAGGGCCAUCGCUCAACGGAUAAAAGGUACUCCGGGGAUAACAGGCUGAUACCGCCCAAGAGUUCAUAUCGACGGCGGUGUUUGGCACCUCGAUGUCGGCUCAUCACAUCCUGGGGCUGAAGUAGGUCCCAAGGGUAUGGCUGUUCGCCAUUUAAAGUGGUACGCGAGCUGGGUUUAGAACGUCGUGAGACAGUUCGGUCCCUAUCUGCCGUGGGCGCUGGAGAAUUGAGGGGGGCUGCUCCUAGUACGAGAGGACCGGAGUGGACGCAUCACUGGUGUUCGGGUUGUCAUGCCAAUGGCACUGCCCGGUAGCUAAAUGCGGAAGAGAUAAGUGCUGAAAGCAUCUAAGCACGAAACUUGCCCCGAGAUGAGUUCUCCCUGAGACUUUAAGUCUCCUGAAGGAACGUUAAAGACGAUGACGUUGAUAGGCCGGGUGUGUAAGCGCAGCGAUGCGUUGAGCUAACCGGUACUAAUGAACCGUGAGGCUUAACCUU